UAGCAUAUCAAUAAGCGGAGGAAAAGAAACCAACAGGGAUUGCCCUAGUAACGGCGAGUGAAGCGGCAACAGCUCAAAUUUGAAAUCUGGCUCUUUUAGAGUCCGAGUUGUAAUUUGCAGAGGGCGCUUUGGCUUUGGCAGCGGUCCAAGUUCCUUGGAACAGGACGUCACAGAGGGUGAGAAUCCCGUACGUGGUCGCUGGCUAUUGCCGUGUAAAGCCCCUUCGACGAGUCGAGUUGUUUGGGAAUGCAGCUCUAAAUGGGAGGUACAUUUCUUCUAAAGCUAAAUAUUGGCCAGAGACCGAUAGCGCACAAGUAGAGUGAUCGAAAGAUGAAAAGCACUUUGGAAAGAGAGUCAAACAGCACGUGAAAUUGUUGAAAGGGAAGCGCUUGCAGCCAGACUUGCUUACAGUUGCUCAUCCGGGUUUUUACCCGGUGCACUCUUCUGUAGGCAGGCCAGCAUCAGUUUGGGCGGUAGGAUAAAGGUCUCUGUCACGUACCUCCUUUCGGGGAGGCCUUAUAGGGGAGACGACAUACUACCAGCCUGGACUGAGGUCCGCGCAUCUGCUAGGAUGCUGGCGUAAUGGCUGUAAGCGGCCCGUCUUGAAACACGGACCAAGGAGUCUAACAUCUAUGCGAGUGUUUGGGUGUCAAGCCCGAGCGCGUAAUGAAAGUGAACGGAGGUGGGAACCCGCAAGGGUGCACCAUCGACCGAUCCUGAUGUCUUCGGAAGGAUUUGAGUAAGAGCAUGGCUGUUGGGACCCGAAAGAUGGUGAACUAUGCUUGAAUAGGGUGAAGCCAGAGGAAACUCUGGUGGAGGCUCGCAGCGGUUCUGACGUGCAAAUCGAUCGUCAAAUUUGGGCAUAGGGGCGAAAGACUAAUUCGAAC
This 887-nucleotide ribosomal RNA is filed under the name Alternaria alternata. RNAcentral's name for it is "partial large subunit ribosomal RNA". It matches the Rfam family "Eukaryotic large subunit ribosomal RNA", at positions 36 to 940 of the family's 3401-position model. Lineage: Eukaryota; Fungi; Ascomycota; Dothideomycetes; Pleosporales; Pleosporaceae. The record is from RNAcentral.